Molecule: transfer RNA, 69 nt
Filed under: Gorgonocephalus chilensis
Lineage: Eukaryota; Metazoa; Echinodermata; Ophiuroidea; Euryalida; Gorgonocephalidae
Description: tRNA-Glu
Source: RNAcentral
AUCUAUAUAGUUUAAUAAAAACGAUAAACUUUCUAUUUAUAAAUUCCUAUUAAAAGUAGGCUAUAGAUU